This 497-nucleotide ribosomal RNA is filed under the name uncultured bacterium. Its description in RNAcentral is "partial 16S ribosomal RNA". It matches the Rfam family "Bacterial small subunit ribosomal RNA", at positions 28 to 507 of the family's 1533-position model. The record is from RNAcentral.
GAUGAACGCUGGCGGCGUGCCUAAUACAUGCAAGUCGAGCGAACGGACGAGAAGCUUGCUUCUCUGAUGUUAACGGCGGACGGGUGAGUAACACGUGGAGAACCUACCUAUAAGACUGGGAUAACUUCGGGAAACCGGAGCUAAUACCGGAUAAUAUUUUGAACCGCAUGGUUCAAAAGUAAAAGACGGUCUUGCUGUCACUUAUAGAUGGAUCCGCGCUGCAUUAGCUAGUUGGUAAGGUAACGGCUUACCAAGGCAACGAUGCAUAGCCGACCUGAGAGGGUGAUCGGCCACAUUGGAACUGAGACACGGUCCAGACUCCUACGGGAGGCAGCAGUAGGGAAUCUUCCGCAAUGGGCGAAAGCCUGACGGAGCAACGCCGCGUGAGUGAUGAGGGUCUUCGGAUCGUAAAACUCUGUUAUUGGGGAGGAACAUAUGUGUAAGUAACUGUGCACAUCUUGACGGUACCUAAUCAGAAAGCCACGGCUAACUACGUG